This 253-nucleotide ribosomal RNA is filed under the name uncultured bacterium. RNAcentral describes it as "partial 16S ribosomal RNA". It matches the Rfam family "Bacterial small subunit ribosomal RNA", at positions 524 to 776 of the family's 1533-position model. The record is from RNAcentral.
UACAGAGGUCUCAAGCGUUGUUCGGAUUCAUUGGGCGUAAAGGGCUCGUAGGUGGCCAACUAAGUCAGACGUGAAAUCCCUCAGCUUAACUGGGGAACUGCGUCUGAUACUGGAUGGCUUGAGUUUGGGAGAGGGAUGCGGAAUUCCAGGUGUAGCGGUGAAAUGCGUAGAUAUCUGGAGGAACACCGGUGGCGAAGGCGGCAUCCUGGACCAACACUGACACUGAUGAGCGAAAGCCAGGGGAGCAAACGGG